Molecule: long non-coding RNA, 336 nt
Organism: Daphnia magna
Lineage: Eukaryota; Metazoa; Arthropoda; Branchiopoda; Diplostraca; Daphniidae
Exons: 2
Source: RefSeq, a predicted model, not a curated record
CUAUUUUGGAGGGGAAGAGGAAAUGGUACCGUUACCUUCAGCAAAACGCGCUGGUUUUUAAACUGUCUCAUGGACAAUGCAAAGUAGAGAGCCUGGACUUUAAACUACCAUCGAGUUUUUAAGUUUGAACUCCUCCGAUUAUAUUUGAACAUUGACGCGCCGCGGUCAUAGAAAACUGUUGAACAGCAGCGGAGCAGCCGACUUGAUAGCAUGUCAUCGGUGAGGGACAGCAGCACGCUAUACCAUGAAGUAUACUGUAUGUAUACUUCAUGAUUAAUACUAUACAGAACACUAACGUAGCGCCAUCUGAAUACAAUUUAAGUAGUUAAGCCUAAA